GAUGAACGCUGGCGGCGUGCUUAACACAUGCAAGUCGAACGGAAAGGCCCAAGCUUGCUUGGGUACUCGAGUGGCGAACGGGUGAGUAACACGUGGGUGAUCUGCCCUGCACUUCGGGAUAAGCCUGGGAAACUGGGUCUAAUACCGGAUAGGACCACAUUUUGGAUGGUGUGGUGGAAAGUUUUUCGGUGUGGGAUGAGCUCGCGGCCUAUCAGCUUGUUGGUGGGGUAAUGGCCUACCAAGGCGUCGACGGGUAGCCGGCCUGAGAGGGUGUACGGCCACAUUGGGACUGGGAGACGGCCCAGACUCCUACGGGGGGCAGCAGUGGGGAAUAUUGCACAAUGGGCGCAAGCCUGAUGCAGCGACGCCGCGUGGGGGAUGACGGCCUUCGGGUUGUAAACUCCUUUCGCUAGGGACGAAGCGUUUUUGUGACGGUACCUGGAGAAGAAGCACCGGCUAACUACGUG
RNAcentral lists this ribosomal RNA (467 nucleotides) under uncultured bacterium. RNAcentral describes it as "partial 16S ribosomal RNA". It matches the Rfam family "Bacterial small subunit ribosomal RNA", at positions 28 to 507 of the family's 1533-position model. The record is from RNAcentral.